UUUUUUUUUUUUUUUUUUUUUUUUUAGUAAUAGUUUAAUAUAAAUUUGGUCCUAAGUUAUUCUUAAAAAAUGGACUGAUACGUCAGUCGAUUUCUGAUACAGCUUUUAUUUUCUUUGUUUUUUUUUAAUGUUAAUUUUUUUGCAACACUGCUUACAAACCUAUGAAGAUGAAAACUUUGCGUAAAGCAUGAGCAUGAGGAAAACCCUUGGAAAUAAUUUUUUUUUGUAGAGAUUAUUUGACUGCAGUUCAAUCCGCUGGUGUACUUGUAGUACUUCAGAGUUCACAUUAAAAAGUCCUACUGAAAAUAUCUAAAUCUUUGUUUGUUCAAAUCUUCUAAAGCUUUUUUUUUUGAAAACUUGUUUUAAACAUGUCAUACUGUUUCCUGAAAUUAUUUGUUAUAAUUUCUAAGCUUGCUUUCUUGAGGUGGGCAUGGCGGCCGAGUGGAUAAGCGCUUGGCUUCCGGACUUGGGUUCGAAUCUUGGUGAAGACUUGGAUUUUGAAUUUUGGGAUUUUCAGAGCCCACCAACUUAAAGGCGGUUGGUCGUUUUGCUGGCCACAUGACACCCUGCUCGUUAACCAUUGGCCAAAGUCAGAUGACCUUAAUAUAUCAUCUGCCUUAUAGACCGGGUGGUCUGUUAGGGGAACAUUUUUCUUGCUUUCUUGAACAAAAACUUAGAAUUUAAUCCCAUGAAAUGAAACAAAUCUUUUUGAGCUAAACCCUCAAAGAAAUCAAGUUGUUUUAAAACUUGUUGACCCCAGAUGUCAUAUCCAUUAAAUGAGGUUUACCUUGUUGUCUUAACAUUUCAUUUGUUCAUGUGACAGAGAAGAUUAAUUUGCAUUCAAAGUUUGAAUUAUCACAUAGUUAUGUUUUUAAUUAUGGUUAUAAAAUGUAUAUCAGGCCAUAAUGAACCUUGCAUUGGGCCAGAGCUGGACCCAUGCAUUUGCAAAUUAUUAUGAUAGGAGAUGUUUAUUCUCCCACCUACGCUGUUGUGAUGUGUACAAGCUGUAAGUCUGCACAAGGAUUGGGAUUGUGUCUAAGAAUGUGAAGACAUUGUGUUCUAAACAAUGCAAAUCAUUUCUAUUGUCAUCACAUUUGUGUUAUCAAACUCACUGAAUGAAACUCUGCUCCUGUCAUUCUAUUGAUUGAUGUCACUGAAUGAAACUCUGCUCGUGUAAUUCUAUUGGUUGAUUUGAGGUGUCCUAAUGGAAGAAGGCAGUACAAUUAAUAGCACAAAACUUACACAUAAACUCAACAACAGGCCUAAUGUGCCAUUGAAAGAAAAAAAAAAGGCUACAGUAUAAAGUAUGGCAUGAUUUUGGUUUCAAACAUCCUACCUAUUAUUGUUUGUUGUUUUUUUUUUUUGUUUUUUGGUAGGGGGGGGGGGCACCCGGUUCUAUUGUUUCUAUGUUAAUUCUUAGACUCCAUUUCUUCUGGGGCAAAUCUUGUUGUUGGGAUACUGUAAAUAUGUCGAUACAACAUGAGACUCAGUUAAUAGUGGCAUACUUAAUUUUCAUCCAUGAGUGUCAUAAACUUAAAAUAUUGUAUGCCAACUUUGAACGAAAUCAAUGAAUCUUCUGACUUUGUAACCUUAAAUGUGCAUCAUGUAGAUUGAACCAUUUUAUUGACUUUAUUUCAUGACCUUAGGUGUUAAUCUCCUUCUUCAUAAGACAGUCAAAAUUAUUUAUUGCAAAUGUGACCAAAGUUUGUUUUUCUCCAAAAUCUUCCUAGAUCAGGGGCUCUCAACCUGUGGGUCGAUUGACGAUUUGCCAGGGGUCGCCAAAGACCAUCGAAAAAUUGGAUUGUUAUUGUCUAUUCUUCUAUUGCUGUGUGUGAGGGGGGGGGGGCGGGG
Molecule: non-coding RNA, 1851 nt
Organism: Biomphalaria pfeifferi
Lineage: Eukaryota; Metazoa; Mollusca; Gastropoda; Planorbidae
Source: the annotation of a GenBank genome assembly